ACUUUCCUGAAGAUUGCAUCAUGUCGUUCUUUUUCGUUUGCGGAGUUGUUUGCUGCGGAGUUGUCAUCUCGUCUAGUGCUUCGUGCAGGAAUCCAUUUCUGAGCGUUUUGCCCUGGGGUUUUCCCCAGGAACUCGCUGAUUAAUAAAAAUCAGCAAAAACACUUAUUGUCACACACCAAAUGUUAAACAUCAUAAAUUCUCUUACAUAGAAAAAAGUAAUUUAGGCUUUCUCGACUUCCCCUCCAAGAAAGCCAACUCUGGAAAUUAGUGCUUCUGGAACAGUAGUGUGCAUCAGAAUCACCUGAAGGGCUUGUUAAUACAGAUUGCUGGGCCCACCCAGUUUCUGCUUUCACUGGUUUGGGGUGGGGCCUAAGAAUUUGCAUGUCUAGUAAAUAUUCCCAGUAUCAACGCUGUGGAACCACAUUUUGAAAAUUAACAUUUUUUUUAAGAGAUGGGGUCUUGCUGUCUUGCCCAGGCUGAUCUCAAACUCUUGGGUUCAAGCGACCCUCCCACCUUUGCCUCCCAAAGUUGUUGUUGGGAUUACAGGUGUGAGCCACUGUACCGGCUGCCAAUAAACACUUUCUAAUGUUUUAUUGACCAUGUUGAGUGCGUACUACUUUACUAAUAACAAUCAGUAGGAAUAAUAGCUACUGAUUUCAGAAAAACACAUUAGUAAAAAUAACCCAAAGAAUAAGGAAAAAAAUAACAGCUUGAGAGUCUCAACUCACUUAGAAAAUUUGGCUAAGGAAUAAUCAGGAACUGAUAUUCUGUAUUUAGGAUACCCAACAGAAACCACGCCCCUUAAGAUUAGGAGUCUUGAUGGCUAUUGCCUUAAUUAUACCGUCACAUGGGAAAGACUUUUAAUCUGUUAAAUAAAGCUCACUGUUUUUUUACAUGUUUACCACACCUGUUGCCAGCAGUCUUGGGAUAGUGCUGAGGUGCACCCCUACUUCCUCCUCCGCCCGAAGAAGCACUAUUUAAAAGAAAAAAAUUGUUUACUGUAUCCCAACUAUGUCUCACUCAAAAAGAAUAAGCAUCUAUUUUGUGUUUUGCUUUGCUUGUAGAGAUGGGGGUCUCGCUAUUUUGCCCAGACUGGAGCCAGGCCUGUAUUUUAGUGCUUGUAUAUUAUGCUACAAAUGAAGACUGAACUCGGACCCAAAGGAAAGGCAAAUAAUUGAUUUUAUUUAUUCUUCAGAUGGCAGUUCUUAGAAGGCUGUCAAUGAAAACUUAAGAACUUUUCAAAUGAAAAUUGCAGCCCAUUAAGUCGGACUUAUUUGCUGUGUUAACUACUUUUUGAGACUGGCCUUUUCAAAAGGAUUCCCCAAAAUAAAUCUACAAGUACCUGAAACGAGAAGCACCCCCUUCUGCAAUCGCACUCUCCACUUUGGCGGCUUGACAACGAAGAAUCUUCAAAAGAAUAAUAUUAAUAGAUGGGGUGGGGAGGGGAGGGGACAGGAGAAAUGAAAUACCUGGAACGAGAAAGAGCACCAAAAUUAGACACUGCUAACAUACAGAUCUAUAAGCCUUCAUUCAAUUACAACGUAUUUCAGAUCCUGGCACUGUCACUGCAUUGCAGAUCUGUAAGACUAACCUAAAAUGUACUCAAAACACUGACAAUUACAUUUUGUUUAGCCACCUGGAAAUUCCCCGGUGUUCAAGGAUGCAAAGAGACUUCGUAGAACACAAGAGCAUUUUAAACGGCUCAGAACGAAUCUUUUGAAAAAGCCACAUUCUACUAUCUUUAAAACUGAGCACUGAGAUCAAUAGAAAAGUCUAACUACAGACACGAGCAACAUCACGUGGAAAAUGUCUGCCCUAGGAAUUUUUACUGCCUUGACGAGGCCAGCGACUAGAUGAGGUCUCUCCGAAAGCUCUUCAGCAGUUUUCCCCUGUCCACCCUUUCGCCUCCUCCCCGUGGAGAGCUCGUGGAAAGACGCGCGAGAGGGGGCCGGGUGUACAGGACUAGCACUUGCAGGCGGAAGACCAGGGCCACAACAUGGCAGCAGGAACCUCCGCCCCGUUUUUCCCUUCCUGGGAACAAAAGAGCGGAGCAUUCCUCCCACCCAGGCGCAAGUUAGGGAAGUGCUUCCGACAACCUCCCCGCGAGGCCCGGGUCGCUCGACGGGGAGGAGCAGCUGAGGCCACCCCCGCCAGCCCGGCGCCCAGCUCUUUGUUCUCCAAGCAGGAAGGCGGCCUCCUGCCCACCCGCCGCCUCCAAGCGGGCCCCCUCCUGCACCAUAAAUCCCCCCGGGACUGACAACCGCCUCGCCACGGCCUCCUCUGCUGACAAAAGGGGCAGAAAUCAUCACUCUCUCUUUCCUCCCCGACGAAGGGCAGCCCCUGCCGACUCCAGGUCCUACACACCUCCCCGCCGGGAGGCCAGGCUCCGGGACGCCUGCGGUUCCCUGGUCCCGCGCCAACGGCCUGGCCUUCCCUGCCGGCCCGCGUGCCUCCCGCCACGGCGCUAGCGGUCCGAGCCACGCUCCCUCGCCGUCCGAGCACAGCCGUGCCUCGGUCCGCCACGGCCUCGUCCCUGCAGGCGUCGGCCAUCCGGCCAUGACCGCACGGCGGCCUGGCCAACACUGACGUUUUCCUUCUACUCCGUCAGCAACAGGAAGAGAGAACAAAAGCCAAGACUUUCCAGGUAUCUGAAGCGCAGAGGAAAUGCUAAAAAAGGGUCGCCCCACCCGGCUCCGCCUGCGGCCGCCAUUUUGUACCACUCGAGAAGAAGCGACCAGGGACGGCGGCCAUUUUAGAGCGCUCCACUCGGCGGCGGCAGCGGCUCAACUCACCUUCACCGAGAACUCAGCAGCUGCCACCGCAGCUGCCUCCUCAGGAUCCGGUCGUCGGGGAUAGGGAAGGGAGGGGAAAGGGGAACGGAAAACAAAAAAAAGGGGGAGGGAAGGGGGAGGAAGGAGUCGGGGACGGCCUCAAACUCAGCUCAGAGGAGUCGCUGCUGCAGCCGCCACUCGGUACCCGCUGCCACCUCCAUAGAGCUCCGACUCACUGCUGGCGCUAAGGCGUGUCUGAAGCCGAACUUAUCACUCUUGGGGCAGCCGAACCCACCAGAGUCUCCCCGAAUGGCUCCUUCGCCGCCCAAUCAGCGGCCCGGUUGCCGUCUGCCACCAAUCCGCGCAGGGCAGCGAGGAGGAGCCACAGGGCUGAGCUCGGUUGCGGCGCAGCCCCGCCGCAGUGCGCAAAGCCAUAUUCGCGAAGUCUCUGAGGCUGAGCCAGUGGCGUAAGGGGCGCCGAGCGCUGUCGAGAUGAGGGUUGCGUGCGUAAAGCCGGAGAGCCCUUUUGAGUCUGCGUUGGCGUGGCUGCUGCUUCUUGCUCCAGUCCCUUUGUUCACUGAGUCCAUAUGCCAUGCUCCAGUUGUAUCAUCCCCUUUUCCCUCGACCUCGUUUUCUCACCGGGAAUAUGGGAAGAAAACGCACCCUUACCUCCCCCGAACCCUGUGCGUGGCGAGUGAGCAUUGCUUUUCUUGGCGCCCCUUGGAGCUGUGGCUGCCCUCGCGUGCCUGGCCUCUCCCGGGGCUGAGCCCUUCGGGUUGAGGCCUGGAGCCCCCGGGCGCAGCGCCGGGACACUACCCGGCUCCAGGUCCUCGGCUUCGGCAGCCUUAGGGAACCCAGAAAGUAGUGGGGAGGAGGCGAGACGUGCGCCCGGAUGCCAAAGGGGAGCUUCAUUCAGCUCCUUAUUGGCCCACCCCCUGCAGAGUGAAUGAGAAAGUGAUGAAAGGAAGGGGUUGAUUUUCUUCGAACCGCACAGAAGAAGCUGCUUUUCCCAUAGGAAUGUCCGGCUGGCGGUCACCGAGGAAAACACCCUGUGUGUCAGACUUCCGCGGGUGUUUGGAGGAUUUCGAAUUGCUAGCUCCUGUUUUUUUUUGUUUUUUGUUUGUUUAAGUGCACGUUAAACAUUGUCAGUUGUGUAUUUUCAUUUUAUUUAAGGUUCACCAUAAGAAAUAGGAUUAAGCUUUUCAAAGCCGGCAAGUUGAACUAUUUAUACUUACCAGGUAAUGUAUUGAUGAGUACCUUAUUCCAUCGUUUGCGACAUUGUAGCUAUACUAAAAUGGAGUCAUACUUCCAUAAACUUAAACAACAAAAAUGUCCCCAUCUCCAUUUUAACAUGUAGUACUUUUACAGUGUAUAGUCAAAGGCAAGAAUGUGUGUGUUUUAACAUGAAUGACUUUUAAAGUGUUCAGUAAGAGGCAGGAUUUUCAAAGACCCAAACUUAACCUUUGAUGUGUCAAAACAGCUCUUGGUAUUAGAGCACCUGGUCCUUAAUACAAUUUUCCGGAAAAUUGCAGUUUUUCCUACGACAUUUAAAUGUAAUAGAAGGCUGUGGUGUGGCUCUGAAGGUUUUUAACACAAUUCCAACAUCUGUAGAUCUUUGCUAUAGAAUAGUCACCAUUCCCUACUUUACUGUUACUACACUUAUUGCU
RNAcentral lists this long non-coding RNA (4438 nucleotides) under Homo sapiens (human). Its description in RNAcentral is "HSALNT0361347". Lineage: Eukaryota; Metazoa; Chordata; Mammalia; Primates; Hominidae. The record is from RNAcentral.